AGAGAGCUCUUCCUUCGGGGAGGCAUUUCACAGGUGAUGCAUGGCUGUCGUCAGCUCGUGUUGUGAGAUGUUGGGGUUAAGUCCCUUAGCAGGCGAAACCCUCUUUCUUAUUUGCUAACAGGUAAUGCUGAGAACUAUAAGAAGACUGCCCCGUGAAGCGGGAGGAAGGAGAGGAUGAUGUCAAAUCAUCAUGUCCCUUAUGGGCUGGGCUACACAGGUGCUACAAUGGGGUGUACAAAGUGUUGCAAUGUAGUAAUACGGAGCUAAUCACUAAAGCACUCCUCAGUACGGAUUGAGGCUUGCAACUCAGCCUCAUGAAGCUGGAAUCGCUAGUAAUCGUGGAUCAGAAUGCUGCGGUGAAUACGUUCCUGGGUUUUGCACACGCUGCCCGUC
RNAcentral lists this ribosomal RNA (393 nucleotides) under uncultured bacterium. RNAcentral's name for it is "bacterial SSU rRNA". It matches the Rfam family "Bacterial small subunit ribosomal RNA", at positions 1006 to 1398 of the family's 1533-position model. The record is from RNAcentral.